This 168-nucleotide ribosomal RNA is filed under the name Pagurus nigrivittatus. RNAcentral's name for it is "partial 16S rRNA". The record is from RNAcentral. Lineage: Eukaryota; Metazoa; Arthropoda; Malacostraca; Decapoda; Paguridae.
UCUUUACAAUAAAUGUAUUUUAUAUUUUUAUUUAUAAAGUGGAUAAUAUAUUAAAUAUAUAAUUGUUUCGCUGGGGCGGCGUAGAUAUACAAAUAAACUGUCUAUAUUUUAAACACAAUAAUUAUUGAUUAAUAAGAUCGAUCCUUGAAUAGAUUAAAAGAUUAAGAU